Long non-coding RNA from Pan troglodytes (chimpanzee), 660 nucleotides. RefSeq lists it as uncharacterized. Lineage: Eukaryota; Metazoa; Chordata; Mammalia; Primates; Hominidae. The transcript is spliced from 4 exons. The record is from RefSeq and is a predicted model, not a curated record.
UUUUGUCUACCAUUCCGGUUCCAUCUGCAUUCCCGGAGGAGUCCUGUUGAGGGCAGAGUGACUGUGAGCGAAACAUGAAGAGCUGUGUCACCAAGUUCCAUAAAAUCUGGGAGCCCAAGCAGCAUAUUUGUGGGAUUUGUCUGACAGAACGCAAUGGAAACAGAGCGUGGCAUUCGCUCCAUCUCCCCCAGAUGUUCCAUAAGUUUCUGCUUCCAUCAGCAAUGUAAGGAAGUGCCCAAUUCCUCCUACCCCCACAUUACUGAGAAUCUUAUCAAAUUUUUUGAUCUUUUCUGAUUGGGCACUGUGCUAAAAGCCUUACAUGGAUUGCCUCCUUUAAUUCUCAUAACCACCCCUCAGACUCUCCAAUCCUGAAGUCAAAAUGGAAUGCAUCUCUGCUCUUCCUCUGGGCAUCAUCUAAUUUUUUUGUUCUUGUUUUCCUUGUGCUGGAAUCUACAACACCCUCUCCUAGCCCCUCAACCAGCCUUUCUUCUGCAGAGCAACUUAGUUCUAAUUAGCAACUACAAACCUAUUCACCUACAUCCAAGAGUUCAGUAGUGUCUUUUAAGUAUGUAACAGGCAAUUCUUUUACAUUUUAUUGAGAUGACUACUUUAAAAAAAUUGGUUGCUACCCAGAACUGUUUAGAACAUUGCUUGCUUUAG